This 1233-nucleotide ribosomal RNA is filed under the name Triticum aestivum (bread wheat). RNAcentral describes it as "partial small subunit ribosomal RNA". Lineage: Eukaryota; Viridiplantae; Streptophyta; Magnoliopsida; Poales; Poaceae. The record is from RNAcentral.
AUGAUCCGCAGAGCAGUGGCGGUAGCAGCAACAAGCAAGUCGAGCACAAGUCAACUAUCAGAAACAUUGCCACCAGCUGACAUUGACAAUGAAUACGGGGGAUUAACUAAAGCAGCAGAAGCAGACAAUGAUGGCACAAGGACAGUCCAAACAGCAGGAGCAGUAGCAGUAGCAGCAACAGCAACAACAACACCGGUAGACCGUCAUGGCGUGAGCACAAGUCAACCAUCAGAAACACCAGCACCAGCUGCUAUUGACGGUGAUGAUGGGGCAUCACCUAUACUAGCGCUACUGAGAAGGAGGGCACACGAUCUGGAUAACUGGUUUUCCAAUAAGAAGAAGUUGCGCAGACGCCAACGACUUAAUGAUAAUGGUGGUGGUGUUAAGGUUCAGGCUCACGGGAUUGGGAAUAUGGCGGCCUUGCGUACACUCGGUGUCGUGAAUGUGAGUGGUGCAGGUGGGAAGGCCAUCCUCAAGGAGGUAAAUAAGCUUACCCAGUUGCGCAAGCUCGGCGUGUCUGGUAUCAACCGCAAAAACUGGCACGACUUGUACUCUGCCAUUUCAGGACAUGGUCAUCUCGAGUCAUUGUCAGUAUAUUUUGACAAGGGGGAACCUGCAACAAGUUUUUUUUCUCGUUCGAGUGACAUGUUCUCCGGCCUACCCAAGAGUCUGAAGAGCCUUAAGCUGUAUUCGACGGGUGGGGAAGUACAAGUACCGCCGGUCUUGGUGAAGCAUCUUUACUGUCUCAGAAAGUCUCGUUUUGACCUCAUAGUGUCGACGCAAGAAGAUAUAUACAGCAUUACGGAAUUUCCUCAUCGACGUGCAUUUCGUAAUAUUUAUGUCAAGCCGGUUCAAGAUGGCCAGCUCCAUUAUGGUCAGCGGGAUGAGACGUUGUAUUGUGAUGGUUUCACUGACGCCCCAAUCCUCAAGAUUGACUGUGGCAGCUACAAGCUGGCGAUAUGUUUUGGAUAUUGGAUACCAGAAUACAUUGAGGUGCUGGUGGUUGACUGCUCUACUGCUGAGGCUUCUUUGGAGGUGUCUGGAUUAAAGGAAUUAUCUAGACUCAAGGAGGUGUGGCUCAAGGGUUCCUACAGCGAGGCAAUCAAGCAACAUUUGCAGCAGAAACUUGAUGAGCUACACAGCUCACGCUUGGAGGAGGCAGUUAAGUACGGCAGGGAGUCCAGGUACACAAGAGCUGUCCUGAGGCUGGAGGACCAAGCACAUCCGUCCUGA